GAUGAACGCUGGCGGCGUGCCUAAUACAUGCAAGUCGAGCGAACGGACGAGAAGCUUGCUUCUCUGAUGUUAGCGGCGGACGGGUGAGUAACACGUGGAUAACCUACCUAUAAGACUGGGAUAACUUCGGGAAACCGGAUCUAAUACCGGAUGAUAUUUUGAACCGCAUUGUUCAAACGUGAAAGACGGUCUUGCUGUCACUUAUAGAUGGAUCCGCGCUGCAUUCGCUAGUUGGUAAGGUAACGGCUUACCAAGGCAACGAUGCAUAGCCGACCUGAGAGGGUGAUUGGCCACACGGGAACUGAGACACGGUCCAGACUCCUACGGGAGGCAGCAGUAGGGAAUCUUCCGCAAUGGGCGAAAGCCUGACGGAGCAACGCCGCGGGAGUGAUGAAGGUCUUCGGAUCGUAAAACUCUGUAAUUAGGGAAGAACAUAUGUGUAAGUAACUGUGCACAUCUUGACGGUACCUAAUCAGAAAGCCACGGCUAACUACGUG
RNAcentral lists this ribosomal RNA (497 nucleotides) under uncultured bacterium. RNAcentral's name for it is "partial 16S ribosomal RNA". It matches the Rfam family "Bacterial small subunit ribosomal RNA", at positions 28 to 507 of the family's 1533-position model. The record is from RNAcentral.